UAAGACGAACCGUGCGAACGUUAUUCGGAAUCACUGGGCUUAAAGCGCGUGUAGGCGGGCCAUCACGUCGGUCGCUGAAAGCCCCCGGCUCAACCGGGGAAGGGGCGCCGAUACGAGUGGCCUGGAGGUAGGUAGGGGGAGCCGGAACUGCCGGUGGAGCGGUGAAAUGCGUUGAGAUCGGCAGGAACGCCCGUGGCGAAAGCGGGCUCCUGGACCUCACCUGACGCUGAGACGCGAAAGCCAGGGGAGCGAACGGGAUUAGAUACCCCGGUAGUCCUGGCCGUAAACACUGGGCACUGGGUAGGGGACUCGCCGAUGGGUUCCCUGCCGCAGCGAAAGCGUGAAGUGCCCCGCCUGGGGAGUAUGGUCGCAAGGCUG
RNAcentral lists this ribosomal RNA (378 nucleotides) under uncultured bacterium. RNAcentral's name for it is "bacterial SSU rRNA". It matches the Rfam family "Bacterial small subunit ribosomal RNA", at positions 521 to 896 of the family's 1533-position model. The record is from RNAcentral.